This 228-nucleotide long non-coding RNA is filed under the name Ananas comosus (pineapple). RNAcentral describes it as "long non-coding RNA (ACOM_LNC040938)". The record is from RNAcentral. Lineage: Eukaryota; Viridiplantae; Streptophyta; Magnoliopsida; Poales; Bromeliaceae.
AGGUCUAAGAAGCCUUCGAUGUACCCGCGAGCACGGUCCCAGAGUUGUGGGACUCGGAAGUGCGUCAUUUGCGGAGGUAAACAUGACCCGAACCAUUGCGAGCAAAAAGAGGGAAGAUGCUUCACGUGUGGUCAGGCGGGGCACAUCAGCCGCCACUGUCCAAGGAGGACCUCGCCUGUCCCGUCUACUCCAUCGGCUCCGGCAAUUUCGGGCCAUUAUGGAGGAGCC